CACCGAAGGAUAGCUCAAGUCGGUAGAGCAUGAGAUUCUUAAUUUCAGGAUCGUGGGUUCAGGCCCCACGUUGGGUGA
Podarcis lilfordi (Lilford's wall lizard) is the source of this 78-nucleotide non-coding RNA. The record is from the annotation of a GenBank genome assembly. Lineage: Eukaryota; Metazoa; Chordata; Lepidosauria; Squamata; Lacertidae.